CCUACGGGUGGCAGCAGUGGGGGAUAUUGGACAAUGGGGGAAACCCUGAUCCAGCGACGCCGCGUGAGUGAAGAAGUAUUUCGGUAUGUAAAGCUCUGUCAGCAGGGAAGAAAGAAAUGACGGUACCUGACCAAGAAGCCCCGGCUAACUACGUGCCAGCAGCCGCGGUAAUACGUAGGGGGCAAGCGUUAUCCGGAUUUACUGGGUGUAAAGGGAGCGUAGACGGCAGCGCAAGUCUGGAGUGAAAUGCCGGGGCCCAACCCCGGAACUGCUCUGGAAACUGUGAAGCUGGAGUGCAGGAGAGGUAAGCGGAAUACCUGGUGUAGCGGUGAAAUGCGUAGAUAUCAGGAGGAACACCGGCGGCGAAGGCGGCUUACUGGACUGUAACUGACGUUGAGGCUCGAAGGCGUGGGGAGCAAACAGGAUUAGAUACCCCUGUAGUC
This 443-nucleotide ribosomal RNA is filed under the name uncultured bacterium. RNAcentral describes it as "partial 16S ribosomal RNA". It matches the Rfam family "Bacterial small subunit ribosomal RNA", at positions 338 to 795 of the family's 1533-position model. The record is from RNAcentral.